GGGUGCGUAGUAUACUGGCAGAAUGGUCGGCUCCAACCCGACAGAAAAGGGUUCGAUUCCCUUCGCGCCCA
RNAcentral lists this transfer RNA (71 nucleotides) under archaeon. RNAcentral describes it as "tRNA-Trp". It matches the Rfam family "tRNA". Rfam says of the family: Transfer RNA (tRNA) molecules are approximately 80 nucleotides in length. Their secondary structure includes four short double-helical elements and three loops (D, anti-codon, and T loops). Further hydrogen bonds mediate the characteristic L-shaped molecular structure. tRNAs have two regions of fundamental functional importance: the anti-codon, which is responsible for specific mRNA codon recognition, and the 3' end, to which the tRNAs corresponding amino acid is attached (by aminoacyl-tRNA synthetases). tRNAs cope with the degeneracy of the genetic code in two manners: having more than one tRNA (with a specific anti-codon) for a particular amino acid; and 'wobble' base-pairing, i.e. permitting non-standard base-pairing at the 3rd anti-codon position. The record is from RNAcentral.